GAUGAACGCUGGCGGCGUGCCUAAUACAUGCAAGUCGAGCGAACAGACGAGGAGCUUGCUCCUCUGACGUUAGCGGCGGACGGGUGAGUAACACGUGGAUAACCUACCUAUAAGACUGGGAUAACUUCGGGAAACCGGAGCUAAUACCGGAUAAUAUAUUGAACCGCAUGGUUCAAUAGUGAAAGACGGUUUUGCUGUCACUUAUAGAUGGAUCCGCGCCGCAUUAGCUAGUUGGUAAGGUAACGGCUUACCAAGGCAACGAUGCGUAGCCGACCUGAGAGGGUGAUCGGCCACACUGGAACUGAGACACGGACCAGACUCCUACGGGAGGCAGCAGUAGGGAAUCUUCCGCAAUGGGCGGAAGCCUGACGGAGCAACGCCGCGUGAGUGAUGAAGGUCUUCGGAUCGUAAAACUCUGUUAUUAGGGAAGAACAAAUGUGUAAGUAACUAUGCACGUCUUGACGGUAACUAAUCAGAAAGCCACGGCUAACUACGUG
This 497-nucleotide ribosomal RNA is filed under the name uncultured bacterium. RNAcentral's name for it is "partial 16S ribosomal RNA". It matches the Rfam family "Bacterial small subunit ribosomal RNA", at positions 28 to 507 of the family's 1533-position model. The record is from RNAcentral.